UAAUACCCAAUCCUGACACAGGGAGGUAGUGACAAGAAAUAACAAUACGGGGCUUGAAGUCUUGUAAUUGGAAUGAUGGGAAUUUAAACCCCUUCCAGAGUAUCAAUUGGAGGGCAAGUCUGGUGCCAGCAGCCGCGGUAAUUCCAGCUCCAAUAGCGUAUAUUAAACUUGUUGCAGUUAAAAAGCUCGUAGUUGAAUUUCUGCUGUUUCGUUGACUGCGUUUGGCGUUUGUCAUCGUUGCGGCUUGGUUGGGUUUCGAUUAUUCGUUUCCCGGCGUUUACUUUGAGAAAAUUAGAGUGCUUGAAGCAGGCUUUUGCCUUGAAUACUUUAGCAUGGAAUAACGGAGUAGGACUUUGGUUCUAUUUUGUUGGUUUUAGGAGCCAGAGUAAUGGUUAAUAGGAACAGUUGGGGGCAUUCGUAUUUAAA
Molecule: ribosomal RNA, 426 nt
Filed under: Theileria equi
Lineage: Eukaryota; Apicomplexa; Aconoidasida; Piroplasmida; Theileriidae
Description: SSU rRNA
Rfam family: Eukaryotic small subunit ribosomal RNA
Source: RNAcentral